RNAcentral lists this ribosomal RNA (391 nucleotides) under uncultured bacterium. Its description in RNAcentral is "bacterial LSU rRNA". It matches the Rfam family "Bacterial large subunit ribosomal RNA", at positions 834 to 1224 of the family's 2925-position model. The record is from RNAcentral.
CGAACCCGGAGCUAGCUGGUUCUCCCCGAAAUGUGUUGAGGCACAGCGGUCGAGAUGAAGUUUAGGGGUAAAGCACUGUUUCGGUGCGGGCUGCGAGAGCGGUACCAAAUCGAGGCAAACUCUGAAUACUAAACUGGUACUCGGCCAGUCAGACGGUGGGGGAUAAGCUUCAUCGUCAAGAGGGAAACAGCCCAGACCACCAGCUAAGGUCCCCAAAUGACUGCUAGGUGAUAAAGGAGGUGGGAGUGCAGUGACAACCAGGAGGUUUGCCUAGAAGCAGCCACCCUUAAAAGAGUGCGUAAUAGCUCCCUGGUCUAGCGCUCCUGCGCCGAAAAUGAACGGGGCUAAGCAGUCUACCGAAGCUGUGGAAUAAAUGAUUUUUAAUCAUGUA